This 492-nucleotide ribosomal RNA is filed under the name uncultured bacterium. RNAcentral's name for it is "partial 16S ribosomal RNA". It matches the Rfam family "Bacterial small subunit ribosomal RNA", at positions 29 to 507 of the family's 1533-position model. The record is from RNAcentral.
AGUGAACGCUGGCGGUAGGCCUAACACAUGCAAGUCGAACGGCAGCACAGUAAGAGCUUGCUCUUACGGGUGGCGAGUGGCGGACGGGUGAGGAAUACAUCGGAAUCUACUUUUUCGUGGGGGAUAACGUAGGGAAACUUACGCUAAUACCGCAUACGACCUACGGGUGAAAGCAGGGGAUCUUCGGACCUUGCGCGAUUGAAUGAGCCGAUGUCGGAUUAGCUAGUUGGCGGGGUAAAGGCCCACCAAGGCGACGAUCCGUAGCUGGUCUGAGAGGAUGAUCAGCCUCACUGGAACUGAGACGCGGUCCAGACUCCUACGGGAGGCAGCAGUGGGGAAUAUUGGACAAUGGGCGCAAGCCUGAUCCAGCCAUACCGCGUGGGUGAAGAAGGCCUUCGGGUUGUAAAGCCCUUUUGUUGGGAAAGAAAAGCAGCAGGUUAAUACCCCGCUGUUCUGACGGUACCCAAAGAAUAAGCACCGGCUAACUUCGUG